This 293-nucleotide long non-coding RNA is filed under the name Eucalyptus grandis. Its description in RNAcentral is "long non-coding RNA (EGRA_LNC004603)". Lineage: Eukaryota; Viridiplantae; Streptophyta; Magnoliopsida; Myrtales; Myrtaceae. The record is from RNAcentral.
AAAACUCUUGUUGUUACUCUUUAUUUAUAGAAAAAACUCUCCUCAUGCUCACACUCUCUCUCUUGCUCCCCUCACUUGCAAACGACAAGGCACUUCAAGCCUUAAAAAGUCUCAUAUCGACUAAACAUUCAAAGUAUAUAAGAGAGAUUGUCUAUAAAACCUAAGCCAAGCACAACCUUUAAUCACGUUGUUCAUGGGUUUUAUGCUUAAAAUUAAGCAUGAAACACAUACUCUAUGAUUGAUAUUCACACAAGUGAAGUUUGAAUAUUUUGCACGUGGAAACAUGUGUGAGU